Molecule: ribosomal RNA, 240 nt
Filed under: uncultured bacterium
Lineage: Bacteria
Description: partial 16S ribosomal RNA
Rfam family: Bacterial small subunit ribosomal RNA
Source: RNAcentral
UCGAGCGCCCGCAAGGGAGCGGCAGACGGGAGAGUAACACGUGGGAACGUACCCUUCGGUUCGGAACAACCCAGGGAAACUUGGGUUAAUACCGGAUACGUCCGUAAGGAGAAAGAUUCAUCGCCGAGGGAUCGGCCCGCGUCUGAUUAGCUUGUUGGUGAGGUAACGGCUCACCAAGGCGACGAUCAGUAGCUGGUCUGAGAGGGCGCACGGCCACACUGGAACUGAAACACGGUCCAG